UGAGAGCCUCACCGACCUUAGGGAAAUUACGUUUCCUCAGGAAGCAGCGCAAUGGAUGGAAGGCACAGCCUGCGGGAUAGAUUUGAUUGCUUCCUCUUUAGCAAUGUUUAUCAUUCAAAACUCGCUGGCUUUCAAAAAGGAAAUGUUUCUUCAUUGCCAAGGCUAAGAGAGCAGCUCUCCACUUAGACUUCGAGGAAUCCCUGAAAGAUGAGAAUACCUGCAAAAAAGAAAAAAAAAAAAAA
Molecule: long non-coding RNA, 242 nt
Organism: Grammomys surdaster
Lineage: Eukaryota; Metazoa; Chordata; Mammalia; Rodentia; Muridae
Exons: 2
Source: RefSeq, a predicted model, not a curated record